RNAcentral lists this ribosomal RNA (497 nucleotides) under uncultured bacterium. Its description in RNAcentral is "partial 16S ribosomal RNA". It matches the Rfam family "Bacterial small subunit ribosomal RNA", at positions 28 to 507 of the family's 1533-position model. The record is from RNAcentral.
GAUGAACGCUGGCGGCGUGCUUAACACAUGCAAGUCGAGCGAAAAGACGAGGCGUUUGUUUGUCUGACGUUAGGCGAGGACGGGAGAGACACACGUGGAUCCCGUCCUUAUAAGACUGGGAACAUUUGGGGAAACCGGAGCUAAUACGGGAUAAUAUAUUGAACCGUGGGGUUAAAUAGUGAAAGCCGGUUUUGCUGUCAAUUUUAGAUGCUUCUGGGCCGCAUUAGCUAGUUGGUAAGGUAACGGCUUACCAAGGCAACGCUGCGUAGCCGACCUGAGAGGGUGAUCGGCCACACUGGAACUGAGACACGGGCCAGACUCCUACGGGAGGCAGCAGUAGGGAAUCUUCCGCAAUGGGCGAAAGCCUGACGGAGCAACGCCGCGUGAGUGAUGAAGGUCUUCGGAUCGUAAAACUCUGUUAUUAGGGAAGAACAGAUGUGUAAGUAACUAUGCACGUCUUGACGGUACCUAAUCAGAAAGCCACGGCUAACUACGUG